CUACGUGCCAGCAGCCGCGGUAAUACGUAGGGUGCGAGCGUUAAUCGGAAUUACUGGGCGUAAAGCGAGCGCAGACGGUUACUUAAGCAGGAUGUGAAAUCCCCGGGCUCAACCUGGGAACUGCGUUCUGAACUGGGUGACUAGAGUGUGUCAGAGGGAGGUAGAAUUCCACGUGUAGCAGUGAAAUGCGUAGAGAUGUGGAGGAAUACCGAUGGCGAAGGCAGCCUCCUGGGAUAACACUGACGUUCAUGCUCGAAAGCGUGGGUAGCAAACAGGAUUAGAUACCCUGGUAGUCCACGCCCUAAACGAUGUCAAUUAGCUGUUGGGCAACUUGAUUGCUUAGUAGCGUAGCUAACGCGUGAAAUUGACCGCCUGGGGAGUACGGUCGCAAGAUUAAAACUCAAAGGAAUUGACGGGGACCCGCACAAGCGGUGGAUGAUGCGGAUUAAUUCGAUGCAACGCGAAGAACCUUACCUGGUCUUGACAU
Molecule: ribosomal RNA, 487 nt
Filed under: uncultured bacterium
Lineage: Bacteria
Description: bacterial SSU rRNA
Rfam family: Bacterial small subunit ribosomal RNA
Source: RNAcentral